This 253-nucleotide ribosomal RNA is filed under the name uncultured bacterium. Its description in RNAcentral is "partial 16S ribosomal RNA". It matches the Rfam family "Bacterial small subunit ribosomal RNA", at positions 524 to 776 of the family's 1533-position model. The record is from RNAcentral.
UACGUAGGUGGCAAGCGUUGUCCGGAUUUAUUGGGUUUAAAGGGUGCGUAGGCGGUCUAUUAAGUCAGUGCUGAAAUAUCCCGGCUUAACCGGGAGGGUGGCAUUGAUACUGAUGGACUUGAGUAAAGUUGAGGUUGGCGGAAUUGACGGUGUAGCGGUGAAAUGCUUAGAUAUCGUCAAGAACACCUAUUGCGAAGGCAGCUAACUAAGCUUAAACUGACGCUGAGGCACGAAAGCGUGGGGAGCGAACAGG